GAUGAACGCUGGCGGCGUGCCUAAUACAUGCAAGUCGAGCGCUGAAGGUUGGUACUUGUACCAACUGGAUGAGCAGCGAACGGGUGAGUAACGCGUGGGGAAUCUGCCUUUGAGCGGGGGACAACAUCUGGAAACGAAUGCUAAUACCGCAUAAAAUCUUUAACCACAAGUUUCAAGUUUGAAAGAUGCAAUUGCUUCACUCAAAGAUGAUCUCGCGUUGUAUUAGCUAGUUGGUGAGGUAAAGGCCAACCAAGGCGAUGAUUCAUAGCCGACCUGGGAGGGGGGUCGGCCAAAACGGGACCGGAGACCGGCCCAAGCUCCCUAGGGGAGGAGCAGUAGGGGAACUUCGGCAAAGGGGGGAAGUCUUACCGGACAACGCCGCCGGGGUGGAGGAAGUUCUCCGGUCGGUAAACUCUUUUGGUAGGGAAAGACGAUGGGGAGAGUGAAAAGCUCAUCAAGUGACGGUAACUACCCAGAAAGGGACGGCUAACUACGUG
Molecule: ribosomal RNA, 497 nt
Filed under: uncultured bacterium
Lineage: Bacteria
Description: partial 16S ribosomal RNA
Rfam family: Bacterial small subunit ribosomal RNA
Source: RNAcentral